GAAUGACAUGCAAAGGCUAUUUGAACCACAUAUCAACAAUUUUCUGACCAUGACCAAGUGAUGAAUAUGAUACAAGUCUACCUCAUGAAAGCCACACUACUUUUCAAAGAAAAAUAUUUUCUUUGGAGUUGUAGAUAUUAUAGUGAAAACUUAAUCCUGACUUCUGUUCUGCAUAAAUGAGAAUCGCACUAUGCCAGGUAACAUAAUAUAGCGAGUACCCUGGUUGAGUCAAGAUAAUAUAAAAUAAGUGGAAAGAUAAUGUGGCCCAAGUAGUAAAGGAAAGGAUGUGCAAACAGCCGAAUGUGAAUCUGGCAAUAAUGUGCCUGUUUAAAUGAGUUUUAGUUGAGUACCAAAUAGUUACCUAGGUUUUCCUGGGAAAAACACUGAUCCAGCUUUUCUGAUUCAACUGAGUUUGUGUAUGGUUUUGAAUAAAUAACUAAACAAUAGAAA
Long non-coding RNA from Pectinophora gossypiella (pink bollworm), 450 nucleotides. RefSeq lists it as uncharacterized. NCBI's taxonomy places the organism in Eukaryota, Metazoa, Arthropoda, Insecta, Lepidoptera, Gelechiidae. The transcript has 2 exons. The record is from RefSeq and is a predicted model, not a curated record.